AGGAAAGCAGGGGAUCGCAAGACCUUGCGCUUUUGGAGCGGCCGAUGUCUGAUUAGCUAGUUGGUGAGGUAAAGGCUUACCAAGGCUUCGAUCAGUAGCUGGUCUGAGAGGACGACCAGCCACACUGGGACUGAGACACGGCCCAGACUCCUACGGGAGGCAGCAGUGGGGAAUUUUGGACAAUGGGGGAAACCCUGAUCCAGCCAUGCCGCGUGAGUGAAGAAGGCCUUCGGGUUGUAACGCUCUUUCAGCCGGAACGAAACGGUCACGGCUAAUACCUGUGAUCACUGACGGUACCGGAAGAAGAAGCACCGGCUAACUACGUGCCAGCAGCCGCGGUAAUACGUAGGGUGCGAGCGUUAAUCGGAAUUACUGGGCGUAAAGCGUGCGCAGGCGGUUUUGUAAGUCAGAUGUGAAAUCCCCGGGCUCAACCUGGGAACUGCGUUUGAAACUACAAGGCU
Molecule: ribosomal RNA, 461 nt
Filed under: uncultured beta proteobacterium
Lineage: Bacteria; Pseudomonadati; Pseudomonadota; Betaproteobacteria
Description: bacterial SSU rRNA
Rfam family: Bacterial small subunit ribosomal RNA
Source: RNAcentral